This 65-nucleotide transfer RNA is filed under the name Ophionotus victoriae. Its description in RNAcentral is "tRNA-Glu". The record is from RNAcentral. Lineage: Eukaryota; Metazoa; Echinodermata; Ophiuroidea; Amphilepidida; Ophiuridae.
AUCCUUAUAGUUUAAGCAAAACGGCAGAUUUUCUUCUUGCAGAUUUCUAAUUUAGAAUAAGAAUU